GACGAACGCUGGCGGCGUGCCUAAUACAUGCAAGUCGAGCGAAGUUUUUCUGGUGCUUGCACUAGAAAAACUUAGCGGCGAACGGGUGAGUAACACGUAAAGAACCUGCCUCAUAGACUGGGACAACUAUUGGAAACGAUAGCUAAUACCGGAUAACAGUAUUUCUCGCAUGAGAGAUAUUUAAAAGUUGGUUAUGCUAACACUAUGAGAUGGCUUUGCGGUGCAUUAGCUAGUUGGUGGGGGAAAGGCCCACCAAGGCGACGAUGCAUAGCCGACCUGAGAGGGUGAUCGGCCACACUGGGACUGAGACACGGCCCAGACUCCUACGGGAGGCAGCAGUAGGGAAUCUUCCGCAAUGGGCGAAAGCCUGACGGAGCAACGCCGCGUGAGUGAAGAAGGAUUUCGGUUCGUAAAGCUCUGUUGUUAGGGAAGAAUGGAUAUGUAGUAACUAUACAUGUAAGAGACGGUACCUAACCAGAAAGCCACGGCUAACUACGUG
RNAcentral lists this ribosomal RNA (499 nucleotides) under uncultured bacterium. Its description in RNAcentral is "partial 16S ribosomal RNA". It matches the Rfam family "Bacterial small subunit ribosomal RNA", at positions 28 to 507 of the family's 1533-position model. The record is from RNAcentral.